UGGGGAAUAUUGCACAAUGGGCGCAAGCCUGAUGCAGCCAUGCCGCGUGUAUGAAGAAGGCCUUCGGGUUGUAAAGUACUUUCAGCGGGGAGGAAGGUGUUGUGGUUAAUAACCUCAGCAAUUGACGUUACCCGCAGAAGAAGCACCGGCUAACUCCGUGCCAGCAGCCGCGGUAAUACGGAGGGUGCAAGCGUUAAUCGGAAUUACUGGGCGUAAAGCGCACGCAGGCGGUCUGUCAAGUCGGAUGUGAAAUCCCCGGGCUCAACCUGGGAACUGCAUCCGAAACUGGCAGGCUUGAGUCUUGUAGAGGGGGGUAGAAUUCCAGGUGUAGCGGUGAAAUGCGUAGAGAUCUGGAGGAAUACCGGUGGCGAAGGCGGCCCCCUGGACAAAGACUGACACUGAGGUGCGAAAGCGUGGGGAGCAAACA
This 427-nucleotide ribosomal RNA is filed under the name uncultured bacterium. RNAcentral's name for it is "partial 16S ribosomal RNA". It matches the Rfam family "Bacterial small subunit ribosomal RNA", at positions 355 to 774 of the family's 1533-position model. The record is from RNAcentral.